CUUGGGGGAAUGUAUAGCAAUUGCUAUUUGCACUAAUGUUAUUAGUGUAAAAUUAACUACGUUGAAUAAAAUUCUGGAUAGAAUUAUGAUAAUGACAUUAUCUAUUCAUAAGUCUUGACCAAAUUACGUGCCAGCUGUCGCGGUAAUACGUAGAAGACAAGUGUUAUUCAUCUUUAAUAGGUUUAAAGCGUACUUAGACAGUAAAUAAAGCCUCCAAAAGGGACUAGUUUGCUAGAGUUUUAUAUGAAGGGGUUUUAAAGUACUACUGGUGUAGAGAUGAAAUUCCGUUAUACCUUAAAUGGCACAGGUUAAGGCGAAGGCAUCCUCUUAUGUAAAAACUGACGUUGAAGGACGAAGGCUUUGUGUCUCGAACAGGAUUAGAUACCCUAGUAGUCUAAGCAGAAAAUGAUGAAUGUCAUAGAUUAGAUUUAAUUUGAUCUAUAAAUGAAAGUGUAAGCAUUCCACCUCAAGAGUAAUUUGGCAACAUUGGAACUGAAAUCAUUAGACCGUUUCUGAAACCAGUAGUGAUGUAUGUUGUUUAAUUUGAUAACCCGCAAAAAACCUUACCACGAUUUGAAUAGAUAUAUUUUAUCAUACAAGCGCUGCACGGCUGUCUUCAGUUAAUGUCGUAAGACUUUGGUUAGUUCCUUUAAAUUAACGUAAACCCUUGCUUUAUUUUUAUAUAAAGUAGUUCACCGCUAUAUUGGAUGUGAUAACAGGGAUCAAGACAAGUCAUCAUGGCCUAAAU
RNAcentral lists this ribosomal RNA (748 nucleotides) under Langeottia ottolangei. RNAcentral's name for it is "mitochondrial SSU rRNA". It matches the Rfam family "Bacterial small subunit ribosomal RNA", at positions 352 to 1205 of the family's 1533-position model. The record is from RNAcentral. Lineage: Eukaryota; Fungi; Ascomycota; Lecanoromycetes; Teloschistales; Teloschistaceae.